GAACAGCGGAGCCGGACGGGGAUCGCCGGCGGGCGGCAAGCGGAGGCGGCCCAGGCCCGGCGGUCUCCGAGAUGUCACGAUGGCUGUGGCCAUGGUCAAACUGUGUGAAAGAGCGGGUCUGCCGCUACUUGCUGCACCACUACUUAGGUCACUUCUUCCAAGAGCACCUCAGCCUGGACCAGCUCAGCCUCGAUCUGUACAAGGGCAGCGUUGCCCUGCGAGACAUCCACCUGGAAAUCUGGGUGAGGAGCCAGGCCCGAGUCCAGGAAGUCUGUGAACGAGGUGCUGGAGUCGAUGGAGUCACCGCUGGAGCUGGUGGAAGGCUUCGUGGGCUCCAUCGAGGUGGCCGUGCCCUGGGCUGCUCUGCUCACCGAUCACUGCACAGUGCGCGUGUCCGGCCUCCAGCUCACCUUGCAGCCCCGCCGAGGUCCAGGUGAGGGCAGGGCGAGGCUGGGGGCAGGCAAGUGGGGAGAGUGAGCCAGGGUGUCCAGGACCUGACUGGGCCUGCCUGCCUUGAGACCCUGUUUCCCCCUACAGCGCCAGGGGCUGCCGACUCACAGAGCUGGGCCUCAUGCAUGACCACAAGCCUGCAGCUGGCCCAGGAGUGUCUGCGGGAUGGGCUACCAGAGCCCUCUGAGCCACCACAGCCCCUGGAGGGGCUGGAGAUGUUUGCCCAGACCAUUGAGACUGGUGAGCAGGCCCCUCCUGGCCGCCCUGUCUCCUGCCCUUCAGUGGCACACAGAACAGGGGAUCCAGACAACGGCAUGGCCACCCUGGUGCCCAGAUGGGAAAUUCUGCCUCCCGUUUGCUGCUCCACCUGACCUGAGACCCCUCCCCGACUCCUCAGUGCUUCGGAGGAUCAAAGUGACCUUCCUGGACACUGUCGUGAGGGUGGAGCACUCUCCGGGUGAUGGGGAACGUGGUGUGGCCGUCGAGGUCCGUGUGCAGAGGUAAGGGCAGGCCGAUCUGGGGUGGACUGGUGUGAAGAUGGGGAGUGGGGGCUGCUGGAUGGUCCCCACCCGCAGCCUGGGUUCCUGGGAAGAGGCAGGGUGGAUCUGGGUGGUAGGGUUGGGGAGGUGGGCUGCAUCGUGAACCCGGACUGGUGUCCAGAGCCCAGGUGAUACAGGCCCAGAGUGGCCGAGGCCCCAAGAACCAAGUUAGAUGCUGAGGGUCUGAGGAGCAAGAGCUGGCCUGAGCCUCCGGGCUGGACAUGGCGGUUUAGGACGGCCUAGGUGUGAUGGAGCAGCUCUGCAGGCCAGGCUCCCUGACCCCGUGCCCCUAGAACAGAGCACUGUGUGGAGAGAGGGGCUCCAGGCCUGGGGUGGCCAGGGCACGGGCUGACCCUACACUCUCCAGACUGGAGUACUGUGACGAGGCAGUGCGGGACCCAAGCCAGGCGCCGCCGGUGGACGUGCAUCAGCCGCCUGCCUUCCUGCACAAGCUGCUGCAGCUGGCAGGGGUCCGCCUGCACUAUGAGGAGCUCCCGGCACAGGAAGAGCCUCCAGAGCCCCCCUUGCAGAUCGGCAGCUGCUCAGGGUACAUGGAGCUGAUGGUGAAGUUGAAGCAAAAUGAGGCCUUCCCUGGCCCCAAGGUGGGUCCCCAGGCUCCUGGGGAGGGGGUGAGUACCGCAUCUCAAGACUCCUCCUCCUCAGCAAGGCUGAUUAUCUGCAGACCAGAGUGGGGAUGUCAAGUGGGGGAUUUACUUCCUUCUUGGCAGCUAAAGAAACAGGCUGUAGGCCAGGCGCAGGGUUCACGCCUGUAAUCCCAGCACUUUGGAAGGCCAAGGUGGGUGGAUCAUCUGAGGUCAGGAGUUCGAGACCAGCCUGGCCAACAUGGUGAAACCCUGUCUCUGCUAAAAAUACAAAAUUAGCCAGGCGUGGUGGCACACGCCUGUAAUCCCAGCUUCUUGGGAGGCUGAGGCAGGAGAAUCUCUUGAACCCAGGAGGCAGAGGUUGCAGUGAGCCAAGAUUGCACCACUGCACUGCAGCCUGGGCAACAAGAGUGAAACUCCAUCUC
RNAcentral lists this small RNA (2016 nucleotides) under Pongo abelii (Sumatran orangutan). RNAcentral's name for it is "retained intron". The record is from RNAcentral. Lineage: Eukaryota; Metazoa; Chordata; Mammalia; Primates; Hominidae.